RNAcentral lists this ribosomal RNA (418 nucleotides) under uncultured bacterium. Its description in RNAcentral is "bacterial SSU rRNA". It matches the Rfam family "Bacterial small subunit ribosomal RNA", at positions 56 to 477 of the family's 1533-position model. The record is from RNAcentral.
UGCAAGUCGAGGGGUAACGGAAGUAGCUUGCUACUAGACGACGACCGGCACACGGGUGAGUAACGCGUAUGUAAUCUGCCUUGUACAGAGGGAUAGCCCAGAGAAAUUUGGAUUAAUACCUCAUAGUAUUACCGAAUCGCAUGAUUUGGUAAUUAAAGCUCCGGCGGUACAAGAUGAACAUGCGUGACAUUAGCUAGUUGGUAAGGUAACGGCUUACCAAGGCUACGAUGUCUAGGGGUUCUGAGAGGAUGAUCCCCCACACUGGUACUGAGACACGGACCAGACUCCUACGGGAGGCAGCAGUGAGGAAUAUUGGUCAAUGGACGCAAGUCUGAACCAGCCAUCCCGCGUGAAGGAUGACUGCCCUAUGGGUUGUAAACUUCUUUUAUAUGCAAAUAAACCUACUUUCGUGAAAGUA